RNAcentral lists this ribosomal RNA (490 nucleotides) under uncultured bacterium. RNAcentral describes it as "partial 16S ribosomal RNA". It matches the Rfam family "Bacterial small subunit ribosomal RNA", at positions 30 to 507 of the family's 1533-position model. The record is from RNAcentral.
AUUGAACGCUGGCGGCAGGCCUAACACAUGCAAGUCGAACGGUAACAGGAAGAAGCUUGCUUCUUUGCUGACGAGUGGCGGACGGGUGAGUAAUGUCUGGGAAACUGCCUGAUGGAGGGGGAUAACUACUGGAAACGGUAGCUAAUACCGCAUAACGUCGCAAGACCAAAGAGGGGGACCUUCGGGCCUCUUGCCAACGGAUGUGCCCAGAUGGGAUUAGCUAGUAGGUGGGGUAACGGCUCACCUAGGCGACGAUCCCUAGCUGGUCUGAGAGGAUGACCAGCCACACUGGAACUGAGACACGGUCCAGACUCCUACGGGAGGCAGCAGUGGGGAAUAUUGCACAAUGGGCGCAAGCCUGAUGCAGCCAUGCCGCGUGUAUGAAGAAGGCCUUCGGGUUGUAAAGUACUUUCAGCGGGGAGGAAGGGAGUAAAGUUAAUACCUUUGCUCAUUGACGUUACCCGCAGAAGAAGCACCGGCUAACUCCGUG